Molecule: long non-coding RNA, 260 nt
Filed under: Lathyrus oleraceus (garden pea)
Lineage: Eukaryota; Viridiplantae; Streptophyta; Magnoliopsida; Fabales; Fabaceae
Description: Pisum sativum (pea) long non-coding RNA (PSAT_LNC033694)
Source: RNAcentral
UUCCUCUUUAAUUGCCAUAAUUUCUCAAGAGUCCAAAUCCCUAAUUUUUCUCCCUCGUUUUGAAUUUCACCCAACUUCCUUGCACCCCUGUCUGCUAGUUCCAAUCCAUGCUUUGGACCUCUGAAUUUGCCUUUCAUGAAUUUUCUAUUGAAGUGAUAAUGACAAAAACAGUACAUUGUCCAUCUGUGCUGAGUCUGAUUUUUGGACAUAGUUUCAGUAUUCAGGUUGUCAUAAUACAAUGUCAUGACAUCGUGUGUGAC